UUUCCUUCGUCUUCUCUCAGCUCGCACUGCCUAAACUUUACCAAAAUUACAAACCCUUGACCAACACUUUACCCAAACAAACUUUCUUCUCUCUCAGCUGCUCGGCAUUGCCUUCAGUUCAGGUUGUCGUCACCGGUGCUCUCAGCUUGGCCGUGCACAUCAUCGUGGGUUGUCGUCACCGGUAUUCAUGGGUUUUCAAUUGGUUUUCGUGGGUUCAGUUCGGGUUGUCAUCACCCUUCGUCGUCGUGGGCUUCUUCUGGUGGUGGGUCAUCAUCGUGGGUGUUCUACGGUCGUUUUCGGUUGGUUUCCGUCAGCGCGUGGGCUUUCUCGGAGUGUUCUUUAUUCUCUUCAUACAUUUUUCAUUACUCUCUCAAAUCAGAGGUUUGAAAGUUGUUCUCCUCGCACAUUCGUUUUAGAUCUAUUCAUGUUUUACUUGCUUUUUUUCUCUGUUAGAUUAUGGAAAGAUUUUGUCACAAUUUGAUAUUAGUAGUGAUGAAGUUACCCAUGAUGCCAAUUACAAAGAAGAGGCUCUUCCUCAACAUUUGUGCCUUGCAAAAUAAAAGAGAACGUGAAAUCCUCAUAUGAGGGUGGAGGCUGUGGAGUCUGGAAAUUCAGUGGAAAUGUAAAACCCACUACUACUAUGUCCGCUACCAAGUCCUUUGCGAGGAAAAAUUCAAAGCCAUUCACAAAUUCCUUGUCAAGAACCUCCUCUUUGAAUGACAAAUCUUUCAAUUCUUCCAACAUCGAAUGGAACAAAACGCAGAAUAGUUCUCGCACCUCGCUCAUUCGUGCACUUUUGACGGAUAAAAGGCCUGAAGAAAUCCCAAUGUUUGUGGAAUCAUUGCUAAGCAAGCUUGUGGAUGAAGUUGAGAGUAACUUUUCCAGCCUUGAACUGGUAUGUAGAUUUAACAAUCUUGUUUCAUUUGUUGCUUCGCAUUUUGUUUAUUUCCCUCCUAUUUUGCAAACAAAAAAAAAACAACUCCAAAAGAUGUAGUUGCGACUACUUCGCAAAGAAUGAAAUCCUUAUAUGAGGUCAGAGAAAGAGAACAUGAAGAGAUUGGAUUAUCAUUUUCUCCCGUCUUUCUUCUCUUUCUAUUCCUUUCCUUUUUUAUAGGAGUGCUUCAAGAUCGUUUUUAGUGUUGAUGUUAUAAAAUUCUUAUUGGUUAGUGUGGUAUUUUGUAUUUAGGACAUGGAAGAAAUGAGAGGCAAUUCCGAUAGCUUAUUUUAUAUGCAGCUACUACUGGAGAAAAUGAUGCUUGCGGUCAAUUUUUUAGAUCAUCCAUAAUGUUCUAACUUAUCAAGUUUCAAUGAACAAAUCUCUAUUACAUCUCUUAUCAGCUGCUUGAAUUAUCUAACUGUGCUUCUUAUGCCUUAAAAAAAAAUGCAAUUGCAAAAGUGCAUGACUUAUUUAACUAUGGUUCUUAUGUCUUAAAAAAUUAUAUGUAGCAUGCUAAUAGAAGGAGAUGAAUCAUUACCCAUUUUAUAUUUUAUGUUACCGUAGAUUUUUUUUCUCUUUGGAAUAUAAUACUGAAAAUAUCAUAUUAAUUGUUGUUUUUGUUGAAGGUUGAGUUAACUUGCCUCUCUCUUUUAGUACAACUUAAAACAUCAUUAAUUGCUAAGGAAAAUGGUGCUAAGUUUUAGUUUGAUCUAUCUACUAAUAAUUGUACUAUUUUUCUUAUUGCAGUUUCUUUUUCAAGUAAGAAAUGGAAUUAUCUUUGAUUGGGCUUCAGAAUACUAAAAAAAAGUCAUUUUUUAAUUGUCUUUCUUGUUGAGGCGGUGUAUUCAUUUCAAUCGUGCAGAUCAUGAGAUUUUUCAUAAAACUACAGAAGAACGAGUAAGCUAGAAGAGAGGGCUGCUGAAUUGAUUGAAGCUCUGGAAGUUAAAAAUUUCGAUCAAUUUCAUAAGUCAGCUCAAAAUCCUGUAAAAACGGAGGAUCUUGAGCUAUUGAAGCUGAUUUAGAGCUCUUGAGUGGUUUUUUAAGCUUCAAAACUUGAGAUUAGUUAGUUUAGAGGUUAAUUUGAAGUAAUAUAUGUGAAAAUCGAAAACUGAAAUGAAAUUGCUAAAAUUUGAAAAAAUUAAAGCUACUAUUAUUAUUGGACAACAAUCGAAAAUUAAGGGGUAAAUGGGGGCUGUAGUCGACUGGAGGUUAAAGAAGUCCUCGCACCAGUGGCCUGCUCAUGUGCCCACCAUACGAAUAACUAGAUUACCAGAGACAAAGAUAAGUUUAGGAUAAGUUUAGGUUUCCUGAAGGUGGUACACAGGUUUCUUUAAAUUCAUGUUUUUUAUGUGCCAGACUUUGUUUAGUUAAAGUAUUUGUCUAGUGAAGCUUUGUUUUUAAGCAUAUUUACUUUAGAUGGAAUUUUUAAUCUUCAACUUCGUAUGGAUGAAGGAUACUUUGCAUGGGCAGCACAACCAGUUUAUAAUCAUGAAGUAGUUCUGGAGGAACAAUGGAAAGUGGUCAGACAAAGAUGCCUAUAACUAGACACUGCUGAAGCUGGAGGGGUCUGUUCAAGAAGGAUUAUGAAGGGAUCCAUACUUACCAAGUGGAGAGAGGGACAGUAAACUCAUAAUGUUUAUAAAAUCAUAAUGUUUGUAUUACUUAUAAUUUGUAUUUUCAAGGCCAGAAUUAUUGUACGACCUUUUAAAUUAUAAUUUUAUAGCAGAAUAUGGAUUAAAUGUAAUAGAUUUACAAUCCAUACAUGAAUAAUAUGUCAUAGCUACAACGUUCGAUGA
Non-coding RNA from Benincasa hispida (wax gourd), 2733 nucleotides. The record is from RefSeq and is a predicted model, not a curated record. Lineage: Eukaryota; Viridiplantae; Streptophyta; Magnoliopsida; Cucurbitales; Cucurbitaceae.